CCUACGGGAGGCAGCAGUGGGGAAUGUUGGACAAUGGGCGAAAGCCUGAUCCAGCAAUGCCGCGUGAGUGAUGAAGGCCUUAGGGUUGUAAAGCUCUUUUACCAGGGAUGAUAAUGACAGUACCUGGAGAAUAAGCUCCGGCUAACUCCGUGCCAGCAGCCGCGGUAAUACGGAGGGAGCUAGCGUUGUUCGGAAUUACUGGGCGUAAAGCGUACGUAGGCGGUUAUUCAAGUCAGAGGUGAAAGCCUGGAGCUCAACUCCAGAACUGCCUUUGAAACUAGAUAGCUAGAAUCUUGGAGAGGUGAGUGGAAUUCCGAGUGUAGAGGUGAAAUUCGUAGAUAUUCGGAAGAACACCAGUGGCGAAGGCGACUCACUGGACAAGUAUUGACGCUGAGGUACGAAAGCGUGGGGAGCAAACAGGAUUAGAUACCCUGGUAGUCCACGCCGUAAACGAUGAUAACUAGCUGUUCGGGCUCUACGAGCUUGAGUGGCGCAGCUAACGCAUUAAGUUAUCCGCCUGGGGAGUACGGUCGCAAGNUUAAAACUCAAAGGAAUUGACGG
This 561-nucleotide ribosomal RNA is filed under the name uncultured bacterium. Its description in RNAcentral is "bacterial SSU rRNA". It matches the Rfam family "Bacterial small subunit ribosomal RNA", at positions 338 to 916 of the family's 1533-position model. The record is from RNAcentral.